ACGCUGGCGGCGUGCCUAAUACAUGCAAGUCGAACGCACUGACGUCGACCGAAGCUGCUUGCAGUGGACGUUGAUUGACGUGAGUGGCGGACGGGUGAGUAACACGUGGGUAACCUACCCUUAAGUGGGGGAUAACAUUUGGAAACAGAUGCUAAUACCGCAUAACCAUUCAGACCACAUGGUCUGAAUGUAAAAGACGGCCUUUGGCUGUCACUUUUGGACGGACCCGCGGCGUAUUAGUUAGUUGGUAAGGUAACGGCUUACCAAGACAAUGAUACGUAGCCGACCUGAGAGGGUAAUCGGCCACAUUGGGACUGAGACACGGCCCAAACUCCUACGGGAGGCAGCAGUAGGGAAUCUUCCACAAUGGACGAAAGUCUGAUGGAGCAACGCCGCGUGAGUGAAGAAGGUUUUAGGAUCGUAAAACUCUGUUGUUGGAGAAGAACAGGGACUAGAGUAACUGUUAGUCCUUUGACGGUAUCCAACCAGAAAGCCACGGCUAACUACGUGCCAGCAGCCGCGGUAAUACGUAGGUGGCAAGCGUUGUCCGGAUUUAUUGGGCGUAAAGCGAGCGCAGGCGGUUUUUUAAGUCUGAUGUGAAAGCCUUCGGCUUAACCGAAGAAGUGCAUUAGAAACUGGAAAACUUGAGUGCAGAAGAGGACAGUGGAAC
Molecule: ribosomal RNA, 670 nt
Filed under: Loigolactobacillus coryniformis
Lineage: Bacteria; Bacillati; Bacillota; Bacilli; Lactobacillales; Lactobacillaceae
Description: bacterial SSU rRNA
Rfam family: Bacterial small subunit ribosomal RNA
Source: RNAcentral